UUGCUCAGCACUGACUGGAUGGGGUUAACAGUGACCACUAAUGAAGGAGCUCUGCUACCUGUCUGAGCAGUGCUCCAGUCUUUGUUGCUGCGUUAUGAAUGCACUGCUCCUCCUGCCACAUUUCUUCACGCCCUCGGUUGUUAUCUGAGCAGUGGUAGCCCCCACGAGCGAUGCAGUCAGUGCCUGCUUGCUCCAGGUGCUCCAUAAGCACAGCAGAAGGAUGCCAGGGGGCUUGCAGGCAGUGUGUGCAUGCUGUUGCUCUCUCCAAGAAGCCCCUGUUUUGGCUAGCUGCAGAAGAAACCAUUUUUUCCUUGGUCAGAUCCUUGCAAACGCAGUGCAAGUGUACAGAACGGUACGGUGUCUAGCUGUCUUUUCGCAGUACGUGCAAUGAGGUUAUCUAUUUUUCAGGCAGAGAAGUGCGUCCAGGCAGUUUGGAGAACUGCUGGCUCAGGCUUCACCUCCACUAAUCCAAGUUCAGUCACUUUCCUCUGAAGAACCUGCAUCAAGCCGUGGUUUUAAGCUGCAGAUGGAGUUCUUCUCGCAGGACUGAAGUGCUGAAGCUCUCUGAGCUCCGAAGGCACCCUGAACUCAUGAGGCUUUUUCUUGGUUGGCAACGUGCUUAAAAAAGAAAGAAAUGCAAAUGGGCAUUUCCACGUGACUGUAUUCUGCUCAGUGCAGUGUCUGCCUGUGUUGCAGACUGAGCUCCGUGGCAUUGCAAAGAAUGCACCAAAGGUUCCCGUAUUUCUAGCGGUUGUCAGGGCGGUGGCUCAUGACAUCGUAAGGCCGUGGCGAUGUGACGGUAAGAAUGUCCCAUGUCAAGUACAAGAUGGCUGUGUGGGACGAGGGGAAGCCAUGGCCUGACAGCUGCCCUUCUGGUCAGCAGUGGAAUUCUGCGGGGUCCAUUAGAAGGCCAUUUCUCUGUAAUGCUUUCUCUGUUGGUUCCAGUCAAGAUGUGGCCGUUGUAUGAAGUAAGUUUGUGGUUGCUGUGAAGCUGGGAGGAAUGUUGACUGCCUUGGGGGUUGAGAGGCCUUGCAGCAAGAUGUGGAGAAAUGUGAGGGUGGUCCCCAUCUGCACGAAGAAGAGCAAGCGCUGCGUUCUGCACCUGGGAUGCGGCAGCCCUGGCUGUACGUACAGCGUGGGGGGGGCGAGGGGCUGGAGAUCAGCCCUGCCAAAAGGGAGGGAUCUGGGCGUUGUGGUUGCUGACAACUUGAAUCUGAGCUGGCAGUGUGCCCUGGGCACAGGGUUUGAGUUUGGGUGGUCCUUUGGGGAGCCAGGGGUUGGACUUGAUGGUCCCUGUGUCCUUUAAGAAGGCCGAAUAGUCUUUCAGUGAUUGUUCUGGGCAGCUCACACCACUGGGUGUACAAUUCAUUUCACUUGGAAUUUCAGGGUCAGACAUAAAUGUUAUUAUCUGCUUUAGAGAAAGAAGUGGGAGGCUGAACUGAUAUUUGGAAAAAUGAAAAAUGUUUAAAAUGUUUUUUGCAAGAUAAGCCCUCAGCAAACAGUCGUCCUGUUCCACUUUUGGCCAGUCUCAGAUGCUUGUCUUCCAGAAUGUCUGCGUGUGGAUGAAUCACAACAGGAUCCUGGGAACUUUUAAGAAAGGUAGGAAGGAGGAACCGGGGAACUACAGGCUGGUGAGCCUCACCUCUGUGCCUGGGAAGAUCAUGGAGCAGAUCCUCCUAGGAGCUAUGUUAAGGCACACAUGAGACAAAGAGAUCCGAGACAGCCAGCAUGGCUUCACCAAGAGCAGAUUGUGCCUGACCAAUCUGGUGGCCUUCUGUAGUGGAGUGAUGGCUUUGGUCGACGGGGGAAGGGUGGUGGAUAUCAUCUACCUGGACUUCUACAGAGCCUUUGACAUGGUCCCUCAGCACAUCCUUCUCUCUAAAUUAAAGAGGUAUAGAUUGGAAGGAUGGACUGUUCAGUGGAGUAGGAUUUGGCUGGCUGGACACAGCCAAAGGGUUGUGACGAAUGGUUUUGUGCCAGGGUGGAGGCUGAUCACAAGCAGUGUCCCUCAGGGGUUGGUCUUGGGACCUGUGCUCCUCAGCAUCUUCAUCAGUGACACAGACAAUGGCAUCGAGUGCACCCUCAGCAAGUUUGCAGAUGAUACAAACUGGGCAGUGCAGUCGAUAGUCUGGAAGGAAGGGAAGCCAUCCAGAGGGACCUGGACAGGCUGGAGAGGCUGUGGGUGUCCCAUCCCUGGAGGCAUUCAAGGCCAAGCUACCCAUGUUUGCCUUCUGUAGUUAUCAGUGGGGCAAGAGGAAAAUGAAGAGUACAAUGAAGUACAGAGUGCUUUUCUUGUCUUGUUCAACUGCAAGUUCCUGUUUUCUCAAAGGCAAAAACAAUUAAGGCUCAGCAAAAACAAUUAAGGCUCAGCAAAAACAGUUAAGGCAGUCAUUGUAAGUAUUAAUUUCUGAUGAUGGUGGCUGCCUGUGUUCGGAGGUCACACUUAGUUGAAGCACACUGCGCCUGUGGAAAUUCUGCUGAGCAAUUAGCAAAAAUACCCUUGUCAUUAGGAAGAAACAAGAACACUGUUGUCCAUAAAGUAAUCAGUGGCGUUUAAGCAAGUGACACCUCUUUGUUUUACAGGAGAAAAAAACGACAGGUGAGCCUAACAUAUUAAUUAACUGAGAACAAAACGUUAGGAAGGACAAGACUGUGCUUGAGUUUUCCCAGUAAUGAGUGCCUGAAUUCCAGAGUGGGUUUCUGAAUCUUUGUUUCAUCCUACGGGUCCUAUGAAGGACUGUGCCAUCAUUGUAAUCUGCAUCAGAAAUGCCUCCUUUCUCAGUGCAAAUCCUGCCAUUGGAUUAAGGGCAAAAAUAAUGUGCAGAGUAGGACUUCUAUAGUACUCCAUAUUAUAGAACUCUAAAGACAGACUAUAAUACUCUAUAUUACAGGGACUCUAAAAACAGACUGCUUCAACACACUUGGAAUCAGCACACCUUUGAAUCUGAUGCAAAGAGAUGCAUGUUUGGUUGUUUUGUUUUGUUUGUUUUUUUAAAUCUCUUUGAACAGCCAGAUCAAGUAGCUGAGCAGCCUCGUUCCAGCUUUUCUGUAAAACUUGAGUCAUGAGGAGUGCUUUCUCUAACAGUGGUAGUGUUGGGACACACGCUUCUCUUUUUGCCACAGACUGAGCAUUGUUCUCUCUCCUUCUUCAUAUC
Molecule: long non-coding RNA, 3155 nt
Organism: Gallus gallus (chicken)
Lineage: Eukaryota; Metazoa; Chordata; Aves; Galliformes; Phasianidae
Exons: 3
Source: RefSeq, a predicted model, not a curated record